RNAcentral lists this ribosomal RNA (514 nucleotides) under uncultured bacterium. RNAcentral describes it as "partial 16S ribosomal RNA". It matches the Rfam family "Bacterial small subunit ribosomal RNA", at positions 30 to 523 of the family's 1533-position model. The record is from RNAcentral.
AUUGAACGCUGGCGGCGUGCCUAAUACAUGCAAGUCGAGCGGAUGAAAGAGGAGCUUGCUCCUCUAGAUUCAGCGGCGGACGGGUGAGUAACACGUGGGCAACCUGCCCUGUAGGUUGGGAUAACUCCGGGAAACCGGGGCUAAUACCGAAUAAUCCUUCGGACCUCAUGGUCCGAUGUUGAAAGACGGUUUCGGCUGGCACUACAGGAUGGGCCCGCGGCGCAUUAGCUAGUUGGUGAGGUAACGGCUCACCAAGGCCACGAUGCGUAGCCGACCUAAGAGGGGGAGCGGCCACACUGGGACCGAGACACGGCCCAGACUCCUACGGGAGGCAGCAGUAGGGAAUCUUCGACAAUGGACGAAAGUCUGAUGGAGCAACGCCGCGUGAGUGAAGAAGGCUCUCGGGUCGUAAAACUCUGUUGUGAGGGAAGAACAAGUACCGGAGUAACUGCCGGUGCCUUGACGGUACCUCAUUAGAAAGCCACGGCUAACUACGUGCCAGCCGCCGCAGUAA